This 1572-nucleotide long non-coding RNA is filed under the name Olea europaea (common olive). RNAcentral's name for it is "long non-coding RNA (OEUR_LNC002611)". Lineage: Eukaryota; Viridiplantae; Streptophyta; Magnoliopsida; Lamiales; Oleaceae. The record is from RNAcentral.
GAGCAACAUUUAAAUGUGUAGCAGCUAUAUAAUUUCAGUCAUAAAGAGAACACUGAUCCAAAUACAGUGGUGGCACUACUUCAAUUCAAAAUAUUACACAUUCUUAAUCCAUCUUAGUCGGUACAUAAUACUUAAACAACAGUAAUUGGAAUUACUACAUGAAGAAAAUGAGAGCUAAAACGAGAUAGUGCUACACAUACAAAAGUUAUGUCAAAAGCCAAAAGCAAAUUUUUAGCUAAUAAUCAAGUCGAUCGCUUCCCUUUUUCAUUCGCUUCCGCACUAGAAUUCGCCUUGCAUAUUCGCACAUUCACCGAAAUAUGUAGGUCUUCAUCAUUGUUUAGGUGAACUCAAGAUUCAAACAUUUUGGACAUUUCUUCAUCAUUUUCGUUCAUCGCAAGGUUAACUAAUGAAGAAUUGUCGCUAGACGAUUCACCAAGUGAUUUUUCUUUCACAACCCAUUCUCAAAAUCCGCAUUUCUCACUGCAACAGAGAAAUAAUCUCCCUUAUUUGCUGUCUGCUUCUCCACCAUGAAACACUUCUCAAAUCCAUUCUUGCAUUCCCGGCAUCUGCACUUCCUUGGGCAUUCAUCAAAGAAAUGGCCCUUAGCUCUACAACUAUGACAUAUUCCUCUAUUCUUUCCGCCCAUUCUGCCAUACAAAUAAACCACAGUUAACAGAAAUAAAUUCACGGUUACUAUAACCAUUACAGAAACCACUUCAAUGUUGAAGAACAUUGAUUAUUUCAUCUCAAAUUUCACAGUGAUCGUGCAAUAACCAGGCUGUGAUUGGUGACAAUUGCUAACAAGAAGUUGGAAUGCAACAUACAGAGUUUUCUUCAUCAGUAAUGUACCAUGUUAGACCCCCCUUCAAUUUAGCAGCACUACACUAUGAAAAACCAUGGAGGUGAACACUAGAAAAUAACAACACAAACAGCAGCUUCAUAGUGACACAGGAAAAAGUGAUAACGAUGCAUAAUGACAAUUGCUAACAACAAGUUGGAAUGCAACAUACAGAGUUUUCUUCAUCAGUACUUUACCAUGUUCAACCCCCCUUCAAUUUCGCAGCACUAUAUUAUGAACAACCAUGGAGGUGAACACUAGAAAAUAACAACACAAACAGCAGCUUCAUGGUGACACAGGAAAAUAGUGAUAACGAUGCAUAAUGACAUUGCACAACGGGAUUAAAAAGAAUAAAAAUUUCAUACAAACACACCAACAGUUCAUCAACAAUAAAAUAUGUGCAAAAUCGGGAGAUGAAGAUUGCAAUAUCCCGAAGUUCAACUACGCAAUGCCAUAUGACAAACAAAAGCGUCGUCGGUCGACAACGGUGAAUCCAGAGCUGGUGGAAAUGGAUGGAAACGACAACAAACCCGUAGCUGAAAAUGAAAAGGCGAUGGCCAAACCCUAGGAUCGAAAUGCAGUCGGAGCGCCGACUGUGAGGUCAUCCGAAGUGUGGCCGGAGAUGGUGAAGUUCGGGUUCCAACUUUGGGAAUUUGAGUUGGGGGCUUGGGGUUCGUUUUGGGGGAAAAUGGCUAUCGGGAUUGCAGUCAACUCUUUCUUUGGACAGGCUUUUU